GCAUUUCUGCUGUGAGUGGCAGAGCGUCUGUCUAGUAAACAGAAGGGCGCUGGUUCGAUUCCAGCAUGAGGCA
Molecule: non-coding RNA, 73 nt
Organism: Caenorhabditis japonica
Lineage: Eukaryota; Metazoa; Nematoda; Chromadorea; Rhabditida; Rhabditidae
Source: Rfam